This 1365-nucleotide long non-coding RNA is filed under the name Pogona vitticeps (central bearded dragon). RNAcentral's name for it is "lncRNA (ENSPVIG00000013614.1)". Lineage: Eukaryota; Metazoa; Chordata; Lepidosauria; Squamata; Agamidae. The record is from RNAcentral.
CCUAUCCUCCAUAUUAUUUUUACCAGGCUUGGUGCUGUGGAAAGGACACUCCAGCUUCACAUACAGCGUCAAAGUCCUCCAUACAGAGCACGUUACCAUAGUCUCUUGAGACUGAAGGAUGCCUAUGUGGUCCUAUGCAUAUGGUCCCCUGGGUGGCCCUGGCACAUUUGAAAGGGAGCACGGACUGGAAACAAUUCUUCACACACAAACAUAUCACUCAUCUGUUUAAAAUGGCUCCAAUAAACCUUGCAGAUCCCAGCUCCAGGUCACUGCAUAACAUGAGAACUGGGCCCCUGUUCUUCACCCUGAUAAUGAACCAAGUACACAAAUGUAAUGACAAUUUGGAAGGCUUGUGGUUCAUCUAGAACACCCAGCUAUGACCGUGUAUGUGCGCUGCAUGCUAGCUUCCCAAUGGUACUUUGUUUCUAUUACUAGAGUUCUGGGAGAUAAGAUUUUAGCCAAUAUUAAAGAUCUGUUGGCAGAUUUCUCUAUUGGCAUAUCUACAAAAUCAACUGGCAGAUGAGGGUUCUGCUGGCAGAUUUCUGCUGGUAAAAGGGGAUUUUAGCCAGCAAAUUAGUCUUGUGCCUAAUCAUAACUUUCUAGGAACACUGCCACAGAAUUGGUUUCUUCCAAUUACCAAAGUUCUCAAUAUGGGAACAUUAAGAGAAGACCCCAGAGUAAUUCAAGGAUCCUUAGAAUUCUAAAAUAUAAGUAGACUAUAUAUAAAGUUGUGCUCUUACUAAGGUUAACAGCUGCUAUUGGGGCAUUGCUUUUCAGUAUCAAUUGCAAACAAAUUGAAACAGUGGCUGUACACAUUACAGCAUAUAGUGCAAUGUGAGUAGGAGAAGACAAUCCCUAUAGUUAAAGUUCUACUAUAUAUUUACUCGGAAGUGAACCCAGUCUUUCUAAACACUUAAACAGUUCAGUUCUUUUUCUAGGCAAUGAUGGGGAGAUAGUAGCUGGGUUUUUUGGGGGGAGGGGGUUGUUUGUUUGCUGAUUAACUAUAAUUCUUUUUAAAAGCUUCAAUCAUGAUCUAUCACUUAUCACUAGAAGGGAUCAUGAUAUAAUUGUACCUUAGCUCAAAUAAGUCAUUGUAACUCAGUUCUGAGAAAAGAGAAGUCACCACAGAAAAUACUAGAACAUGGUGGGUUGCUAACAACAUGGUUGGACCAGCAUUCCUGCCCAUCAUCUGCCAUCUCACGGGGCACUGGGUGAGAGACAGUGCUGCUGCUGCUAUCAGCUGCUAGCUUCCCCUGUAGGAGUUUGGCUCCCGAUUGCUACUGCCUUGCUGGACUGGGUCUGUGCAACUGGCUGCUCCCCACCCCCUCAUCAACACUGGCCACCUGGUUCCAGGGGAGAAGGGAC